AGCGUAGAGAAGCGAAGAAACGAAGUUGGAAAACAGAUAAAAACCAAGGCCUGGAUGGUUGCCUCUGUUUGUCAGUGCUAUGAGAAAACUCGAUUACUGAAGGAACCUGGAUGUUAAAACAAGCGUUGGUGCUUUUUUUGUCGAACACGAGUGAGGCUGGACGCUGAAUACACCUUCGAUGUGAAGGUCUACUUGUUCAGCUGCUGCAACUUGGACAGACACACCAACAUUACCUUAAAGACCAACAGGUGUCACCACUUUGCCCACAACGUCAUCCACAAUCACUGAAACAUCGUCCAUUCAAUUCAGUUUUAUUUAUAUAGUGCUGAAUCACAACAGAGGUUAUCACAAGGCACUUUUCAUAUAGAGCAGGUCUAGACUGUACUCUUUAGAAUAUUAUAAUUACAGAGAGAAACCCAACAGUCGCCCCCCCCCCCCAGCAAGCACUAGGCUACAGUGGCAAGGAAAAACUUCCUUUAAGAGGCAGAAACCAGGCUCAGGGUGGGAGGCCAUCUGCCUCGAUCGUUUGAGUGGAGAAAGCGAGAGAGAGAGGGGAAGGGGGAAAAAGGGGCAUAGAAAAUAGACACAGGAGAACAUAGCAUAAUGCAGAUUGGUAACAAUAAUACAAAAGAGGUAAUAAUAGUGAUGACAAUUGAAAUCGUAAAUGCAAUAGUAGCAGUCAUACCAGAAGCAGUACUAGUAAUUUCUAAAUAUAACAGCAGGUGUUGAGUGGGGUUGUAUUCCAUGAUCACAGAGACAUUGUCCAUGACUUGUAGAGACAUGCAAAGUUCCCAAUUUUGAGGGCAUCAUCCAUGAUCUCAGAAACAUAGUCCACAAUCACAUAGAGUCUUCGUACAAUGAAGAAGUUCUUUGAGACCAGGACAGAGGCCUCCAGGUAAUUCACAAACAGCGUUACAUCAACUGUCCAACACAGAGCACUGACAUUAAAUUGUUUAUGUUCAGUAUUCAGUAUAGCAGAAAAGUGUCAUGAUAGAAGUAAUCUGCUACAUAAAAAGACUGUAUAAUUUGUGUAAAUGAACAGAAGUAAAGUAAAAGUAAAGAGCAAUAUCAUAAGUAGGAUGUAAUAGUCAAAGUAAUCUGUUACUAAAUGCAGUUUGCAACAGUAAAAGUUAAAUAUAAAUUAAGUAAUAUGUAAUAUGAAAAAUAAUAUGUAAUGGUAAAAGUAAACUAAUAUGAGAAGUAACAGUAAAAGUAAUCGGUAAUAUAAAACCAAUACAGAAGUAAUAGUAAUCCAAAAGAAAAAAUGUAUAAGUAAAAAAUGUCAUGCUGUAGAAAAGCAUCAAAUAUGUCAUAGUACGGUAAGGCAUCAAAGAAUCUGAACGAUUCAGAAUAUUGUAAAACAUCAAAACAAUAUAAGAGAAUAUAGAGUUAGAGGCUUCAAAAAUGUGGAAUUUGCCUUAUGUUGUAUAUCACACUUUGUCAAGGCACAAGAUGUAACUUUGCCAGUGUAUGUGUGUAUGUUUACAGUCAGGUUACCAAUUAAUGUUAGCAUGUAUACAACCUAACUUGUAGGUUAUGUUUGAUUUUGUGUUUGUCAUUUCAUUUUGGUAUUUGUUCAAAUAAAUGUUUCUGAACCCUUAAUAUU
Molecule: long non-coding RNA, 1606 nt
Organism: Lates calcarifer (barramundi perch)
Lineage: Eukaryota; Metazoa; Chordata; Actinopteri; Centropomidae
Exons: 3
Source: RefSeq, a predicted model, not a curated record